Molecule: long non-coding RNA, 608 nt
Organism: Helianthus annuus (common sunflower)
Lineage: Eukaryota; Viridiplantae; Streptophyta; Magnoliopsida; Asterales; Asteraceae
Exons: 3
Source: RefSeq, a predicted model, not a curated record
ACGCCGCUACGCAUCAUCUUCAGUAAAUCCAAAAAUCUUCUUCAGCAAAUCGACAAUGGUGAUUCUCAUGAACCUUCUCACCACUGAUCCCUUAGAUUCGGGUCACAUAUAUAAUACGCUUCUUCUCUUGCACCUUGGAAACCCUAAUUUUGAUAUCCAUUGUUUUGGCCAUUUCACUCUGUUUCGCAAAGAAGAGAUCAAUCAUUCAUCAAAGCAAACCCUAAUCGCACCAACAAUCACCACGCUUCUUUUCUAAAAAACCCUAAAUAUCAAAUUCAUGUUCCUUCUGGUUGAACCAUCUAUGAAUGCAUCAAGUAUCAUUUUCUGAUUUGUAGGUUUAAGCUUUCUCCUUUGAAGUUUUUUGGCGUUGUUAGUCUUUUCAAUUUGUCUGGUACGAGGACGGUAAUGGUGCUCGCCGCUUCAGAAAUGGCCAUCACUGACCACCAUCUGAUUCGUCCACCAAAUCGCCGCUUUGUUCUAUUCAUGGGUUAGUAUAUAUCGAUUCAUACAAUUUUUAUAAUUUAAUCUUCCAAAUUCAUGGAUAUUUUUGAUCAAUUUAUGCCAUAACAACAUCUAUGAAAUUAAAAAAAAAGAGAAAAGAAAAAAUU